Molecule: ribosomal RNA, 253 nt
Filed under: uncultured bacterium
Lineage: Bacteria
Description: partial 16S ribosomal RNA
Rfam family: Bacterial small subunit ribosomal RNA
Source: RNAcentral
UACGUAGGGUGCAAGCGUUGUCCGGAAUUAUUGGGCGUAAAGAGCUCGUAGGCGGCUUGUCACGUCGACUGUGAAAACCCGGGGCUCAACUCCGGGCCUGCAGUCGAUACGGGCUGGCUUGAGUUCGGUAGGGGAGACUGGAAUUCCUGGUGUAGCGGUGAAAUGCGCAGAUAUCAGGAGGAACACCGGUGGCGAAGGCGGGUCUCUGGGCCGAUACUGACGCUGAGGAGCGAAAGCGUGGGGAGCGAACAGG